Long non-coding RNA from Glycine soja, 278 nucleotides. RefSeq lists it as uncharacterized. NCBI's taxonomy places the organism in Eukaryota, Viridiplantae, Streptophyta, Magnoliopsida, Fabales, Fabaceae. The transcript is spliced from 2 exons. The record is from RefSeq and is a predicted model, not a curated record.
CGUCGCCACCGCCACCACCGCCACCGCCACCGAUACUGGUGUAUUGAUUUGGAAAGGGGGAAGCUGGACUCGCUGGAAUGAAUUGGGGAAAUUAGGGUUGAGAGUGGCUGUAAGUGAAACGGAAAGGAAGUUGUUAAGAAAUUUAAGAGGUUCUUACUUCUUAGCCAUUUAACAAAAUUAAGUGGACAUGAAAGAAUGUAGCUAUCUUUCUGAUUGACUCUACAGAAGUUGCAAUAUACAGGCUUUUUAUCUUGGAAGUAAAUGUUCCCAAUCAAAUA